UACGAAGGGGGCUAGCGUUGCUCGGAAUUACUGGGCGUAAAGCGCACGUAGGCGGAUCUUUAAGUCAGGGGUGAAAUCCUGGAGCUCAACUCCAGAACUGCCUUUGAUACUGAGGACCUUGAGUUCGGGAGAGGUGAGUGGAACUGCGAGUGUAGAGGUGAAAUUCGUAGAUAUUCGCAAGAACACCAGUGGCGAAGGCGGCUCACUGGCCCGGUACUGACGCUGAGGUGCGAAAGCGUGGGAGCAA
RNAcentral lists this ribosomal RNA (247 nucleotides) under uncultured bacterium. RNAcentral's name for it is "partial 16S ribosomal RNA". It matches the Rfam family "Bacterial small subunit ribosomal RNA", at positions 524 to 771 of the family's 1533-position model. The record is from RNAcentral.